This is a long non-coding RNA of Manis pentadactyla (Chinese pangolin), 2054 nucleotides long. RefSeq lists it as uncharacterized. The transcript is spliced from 2 exons. The record is from RefSeq and is a predicted model, not a curated record. Lineage: Eukaryota; Metazoa; Chordata; Mammalia; Pholidota; Manidae.
GAGACUAAGCCAGACCCAUAGGCAUUGCCAGUUCCAAGGCACAAAGCCAGGAAAGUCUCUGAGAAGUCCUGCAAUAGAGAACUCCUGUCUCUCCUCCUUUAGGCAAGAGUCUCACGUAAAACUAUUUUUCCAUGUAUGAUUUUCCAAAGAACAUGGUUCCUCUGAAAAUCUUCUGGGGAAUGGGUAGCCCUGGUUUCAGGAGGCAGGGAGGAGCAGCCCUUCUCAUUCAAGUCAUGUUCUAAGUUGUGCCCCUAAUAGGCAGGGUGUUAGCAACAGUUGAAUCCCAAACUGGUCAUCACAGCUCUAAGCAGGCUUCACCCCUGCCCCACUGGAGCCUCUUGGGAUCAUGGAACCUUGAUCUGAGCCCUUGCCAAGUGCUAACACGGGCCAAGCAUGCUGUGGAGCUUAGCAAAUGCCUGCUGCCCGUGAGAUGGAGCUGCUAUGUACAGGCCAACCCACCUCAGUUCUUCAAGCUCCCAGGGACUAUUCCCGUUGGUUUGUUAGUUGGGAAUUCUGCAGUGCCUGGGAUUCCUUGUUUUUUCAAAGUUUCUCUCCCUCAUCCAGGAAGCCUUCCUACCUGCUCAUGUGCACAGGGAUCCCUCUCCCUUCCAGACUCCCGUUACCUUUAGAAUUUAUGCCAUUCAGUUUCUCCUGAGCUGUUUGGUCUCUGUUUCCUAGAGUGAGUCUCCUGUCCCUCGAUUGAUGUCUUUGUUGUCUGGUGGUCAAGAGCUGGGCUUAAAACUCACAGCCUGUGUGUGAACUGGGGCUUCUCCACUUUCUCAUUGUGGGUAGGACCCUGGGUGAGUCAUCUCCCUCCCGGAGCCUUUGUUUCCUCACUGUUAAGUGGGGACAAAGUGCUGGGAAGAUGGGAUGAGUUCUUACUUAUAAAGUACUUAGCCCCGUGUCCAGCACAGAUUGGGUGCUUGCUAAGUGAUAUCCAGGGUCAAUCAUUACUAUUGUCCCCAGCCGGCAGAGCUGGGCUGGGGACCGGACCCUUCAAAGUGCUCAGCAGAGGCUGUCCCUGAAAUCCUGCAGCCCUUGCUAGGAGUGAGCAGAGAGUGGAGCCCAGGCUGGGGAAGGCCCCAGGAACCCUGCUUUCCGAGGAGGCAGAGGCCACCAGCUGCUUUCAGCCCGAGUGGAGACUCCUCCUGCCAAGAGAUGGCCAACUCCAGAUGUCUGCAGGCCGGGAGGGAGCCGGCUGGUCGGUGGGGCCUGAGGGCAGAGACAGGACUAAUGGGAGGAAAUUACACGGAGAGAUUUCAUCUCAGCUUGAGGAAGCACGUCAACCAGUCAGAACUGGCCAACCGUGGCCUGCCUGGGCUGUGGACAGAAGCGCUGAGCUCCCUGUCAGCAGAGGUGUGCGAGCAGAGGCUGGGGGCUCCCGAGGAGGGGACGGUGCUGAGGGGGCUUCCACCCGCAAGGCUCCUCUGAGGCUGUGCGCAGUCCUUUAUGCUUCCUGUGCAGCUCUGCCCCUCGCUCGGCCCCGCGGAGCCUAUGGCAGGCAUCUGAGCCACGACAGGCACCGAGGUGUCUUUGAGCAAACUCUAGUCAAAGCUAUGGACCAUCAGACAAGGAAAUGCCAGAAGUUCUACUGGUUCCUGAGAAGAAGCAAGGGCUACAACCAAGUAAGAAGACUUGAAUGAAAAUCUGUGAUAAUCUAAAACUUGGUAGUGAGUUUACUGAAGUGCAUCAAUGUUGUAAAUGCAGCAGUUCCCUGUUCCUGUGCGUGGUGGCCCAGAGGACCUGGCUUGACUGGGGGGCUCUAGAAUCAGUGUUGGAGAUCUCCCAGAGAAACCCGCAACCUUCCUGAUGAGGAAGCAGAUCCAGAAAGGCCAAGACGUGACCCUAGGACUGACCAGCAUGUGAGGGGCAAAGCCCCAACUUUGGUCUUCUAGCCCGGCCCCCGUCCUGGAGCCCUCUCGCGUAACUUCCUUUCCAAAACAGAGAGAAGCCCAAGACAGUGACUUAGAGCCCCUUUGGCAGUUUUGCUGACAAAUUUUUUGUUUUGAAGUGAGAUGUUCUGCUUUUAUUAAAGUCUUUAGGAAAUGAUAAGA